UACGGAGGGUGCAAGCGUUAUCCGGAUUCACUGGGUUUAAAGGGUGCGUAGGUGGGCAGGUAAGUCAGCGGUGAAAUCCCCGAGCUUAACUUGGGAACUGCCAUUGAUACUAUCUGUCUUGAAUACCUUGGAGGUGAGCGGAAUAUGUCAUGUAGCGGUGAAAUGCGUAGAGAUCGGAAGGAACGUCGAUGGCGAAGGCAGCCACCUGGCUUGAUACUGACGCUGAAGCGCGAAAGCGUGGGGAGCGAACAGG
This 253-nucleotide ribosomal RNA is filed under the name uncultured bacterium. Its description in RNAcentral is "partial 16S ribosomal RNA". It matches the Rfam family "Bacterial small subunit ribosomal RNA", at positions 524 to 776 of the family's 1533-position model. The record is from RNAcentral.